This 1189-nucleotide ribosomal RNA is filed under the name Exiguobacterium sp. KALAICIBA5. RNAcentral describes it as "partial 16S ribosomal RNA". It matches the Rfam family "Bacterial small subunit ribosomal RNA", at positions 36 to 1211 of the family's 1533-position model. Lineage: Bacteria; Bacillati; Bacillota; Bacilli; Caryophanales. The record is from RNAcentral.
CUGGCGGCGUGUUAUGUACAUGCAAGUCGAGCGCAGGAAAACCGUAUGAACCCUUUGGGGGGACGACGAGGGGAUGAGCGGCGGGAGGGGGAGUAACACGUGAAGAACCUGUCCAUAGGGCUGGGAUAACCACGAGAAAUCGGGGCUAAAACCGGAUGUGUCAUCGGACCGCAUGGGCCGCUGGGAAAAGGGGCUUCGGCGCCCCCCCAGGGGGGGUUUUGGGGGGAUUAAAUAAGUGGGGGGGGGAAGGGCCCCCAGGGGGAGGUUUCUUAGGGGGGGGGGGGGGGGAAUGGGCCCCACUGGGGCUUAAACCAAAAAAAAAUUAAAAGGGGGGGUCUUUCCGGGGAAUUUUUUAAAAUGGGCGAAAAUUUGGGGGGGCACCCCCGCGGGAAUUUUGGAGGUUUUUGGGUCUUAAAGUUUUGUAAAAAAGAAAAAAAAGGUGCCCGGGGGAAUGGGGGCCUUUUGACGGAAACUUGCGAAAAAACCCCGGCAAACAAGGGGCCAAAAAACGGGGGAAAACGGGGGGGGAAAACGUUUUUCGGAAAAAUGGGGGGGAACGCGCGCCCCGGGGGUCUUUUAAUUUUGAUAUAGAAAACUUCGGGUCAACGGGGGGGGGCCUUUUAAAACUGGGGGGUUUAAGUAAAAAAAAAAAAAGUGGUUUCCCACGCGGGGGGGGGAAAAAGGGAAAAAUGGGGAAAAACACCGGUGGCGAAAACAUUUUUUUGGCCUAUAAUUAAAGGGGGGGGGGGAAAGCGUGGGGGGAAAAAAAGGUUAGAUACCCCCGGAACCCACGCCCCAAAGGGGGGGUACUAGGUGUUUGAGGUUUUUCCCCCUUUAGUGUAAACACCAAAGCAUUAAACCCCCCGGGGGGGGGGUCCGGUCGCAAGGAAAAAACUCAAAGGAAUUGACGGCGGCCCCCAAAAGCGGGGGGGCAUGUGGGUUUAUUUAAAACAACGUCAAAAACCUCACCAACCCUUUAGACCCCCUUGACCGCGAGAAGGAUGUAGUCUUUCCUUUGGGGAGGAGACAGGGGUGUGUUUUUUCUCUUUCAAAAGUUUAUUCCGUGAGACAGCCAUUUUCGUCCUAUGGCCUGAGGGGCCCCGGACCUUGGCCGGAAAAACGGAGGUGGGGGUACUCACAUCUCUCUUGAGAGGAAAUCGUAUAAGAGAAAAAGCGCCCCCUUGUGCUC